CCCUUAGAUGUUCUGGGCCGCACGCGCGCUACACUGAUGCAUUCGACGAGUUCCUACCUUGGCCGAGAGGCCUGGGCAAUCUUUUGAACUUGCAUCGUGAUAGGGAUAGAUUAUUGCAAUUAUUAAUCUUGAACGAGGAAUUCCUAGUAAACGCAGAUCAUCAAUCUGCAUUGAUUACGUCCCUGCCCUUUGUACACACCGCCCGUCGCACCUACCGAUUGAAUGGUCCGGUGAAGCCUCGGGAUUGUGGUUAGUUUCCUUCAUUGGAAGUUAGCCGCGAGAACUUGUCUAAACCUUAUCAUUUAGAGGAAGGUGAAGUCGUAACA
This 326-nucleotide ribosomal RNA is filed under the name uncultured eukaryote. RNAcentral's name for it is "partial 18S ribosomal RNA". It matches the Rfam family "Eukaryotic small subunit ribosomal RNA", at positions 1470 to 1796 of the family's 1831-position model. The record is from RNAcentral.